This 100-nucleotide small nucleolar RNA is filed under the name Genlisea aurea. RNAcentral describes it as "Small nucleolar RNA R30/Z108". It matches the Rfam family "Small nucleolar RNA R30/Z108". Rfam says of the family: snoR30 is a C/D box small nucleolar RNA which acts as a methylation guide for 18S ribosomal RNA in plants. The record is from Rfam by way of RNAcentral. Lineage: Eukaryota; Viridiplantae; Streptophyta; Magnoliopsida; Lamiales; Lentibulariaceae.
AUGAUUGGCCAUGAUGAUACGAAGCUCCCUCUUCUGAAAAUAAUUGAGGACAGUCGCUGGCAGAAUCGAACCUAAUUCUCUAAUCGCCAACACUGAGCCA